RNAcentral lists this signal recognition particle RNA (265 nucleotides) under Anaerolineae bacterium. Its description in RNAcentral is "signal recognition particle sRNA large type". It matches the Rfam family "Bacterial large signal recognition particle RNA". Rfam says of the family: The signal recognition particle (SRP) is a universally conserved ribonucleoprotein involved in the co-translational targeting of proteins to membranes. The record is from RNAcentral. Lineage: Bacteria; Bacillati; Chloroflexota; Anaerolineae.
CCGUGCUAGAUGGGGAACUGGCGGUGCCUUGUACCCGCAAACCGCCAUAGCGGGAUCGAAUUCCCUUCCAAGGGUCGAGAUUCUUGGAACUGCCGCGGUCCGGAAGCGUUGAGGGUUGGGUCCUGCGCGGCAGGAGCCUCUGAACCCCGUCAGGUCCGGGAGGAAGCAGCGGUAAGGAGUUCUCUCCUGGGCGCCGCAGGGGCGCCUGGCCGGAGCCGAAGGCCCUCGGUAAGCCGGGAGGCUCGAUUCGACGAAGGGUGCACGG